Homo sapiens (human) is the source of this 414-nucleotide long non-coding RNA. RefSeq lists it as uncharacterized. The transcript is spliced from 2 exons. The record is from RefSeq and is marked validated. NCBI's taxonomy places the organism in Eukaryota, Metazoa, Chordata, Mammalia, Primates, Hominidae.
AAAACCACCCCGUUUCAGCCCUCAGCCUCAGGGCUGAGAUUCAGGCUCAGGUCUAGGGGUUGGGGAAUAUUAAAGUUUACAAGUACAAUCUUACUCCAUCCAUACACACACAUGGAGAAGCCAGGAGAGGACGCGGCCAGAGAUGGGCUCCUGCCCUUGAACCCCUGCUGGGGUGGAAGCAGGUGCACAAUGCUUCUUUGAGUAUCUCCGUGUCUGUGGCUGAUAUCCAGAUGCAAGGCUUCUUCCGGGCAUCCCUGGGAAUGGGAGUGCAUAGACAUACUGGUCAAAUUACAGCACAGCCUCUACACCUUUACUGAAGAUGGAAAACUGUUUUCCAAAGUUGACUUGCCUAACAUGAUGUAACUAUCAUGCAAAAAUAAAAAUAAAAUUAAGAAUAAAAAUUUAAAAAUGAAA